RNAcentral lists this ribosomal RNA (587 nucleotides) under Salmonella enterica subsp. enterica serovar Typhimurium. RNAcentral's name for it is "partial 23S ribosomal RNA". It matches the Rfam family "Bacterial large subunit ribosomal RNA", at positions 188 to 816 of the family's 2925-position model. Lineage: Bacteria; Pseudomonadati; Pseudomonadota; Gammaproteobacteria; Enterobacterales; Enterobacteriaceae. The record is from RNAcentral.
GGGAACUGAAACAUCUAAGUACCCCGAGGAAAAGAAAUCAACCGAGAUUCCCCCAGUAGCGGCGAGCGAACGGGGAGGAGCCCAGAGCCUGAAUCAGCAUGUGUGUUAGUGGAAGCGUCUGGAAAGGCGCGCGAUACAGGGUGACAGCCCCGUACACAAAAGCGCAUGUGCUGUGAGCUCGAUGAGUAGGGCGGGACACGUGGUAUCCUGUCUGAAUAUGGGGGGACCAUCCUCCAAGGCUAAAUACUCCUGACUGACCGAUAGUGAACCAGUACCGUGAGGGAAAGGCGAAAAGAACCCCGGCGAGGGGAGUGAAAAAGAACCUGAAACCGUGUACGUACAAGCAGUGGGAGCACCCUUCGGGGUGUGACUGCGUACCUUUUGUAUAAUGGGUCAGCGACUUAUAUUCUGUAGCAAGGUUAACCGUAUAGGGGAGCCGGAGGGAAACCGAGUCUUAAUUGGGCGUUAAGUUGCAGGGUAUAGACCCGAAACCCGGUGAUCUAGCCAUGGGCAGGUUGAAGGUUGGGUAACACUAACUGGAGGACCGAACCGACUAAUGUUGAAAAAUUAGCGGAUGACCUGUGGCU